UAAGAAGCUCUUUCAAAUUUGUCAUACACAAGUUAUAAAUGAUGGCAUCUCACAAGAUUGUAAUGCAAUUUAUAAUAUGGAAGUUGGUUUUGUGAAAAAAAAAAAAAUUUCAUGAAUGGACAUAAAACUCCAAUUUUGAAGUUUGUUGGCUGUUUGAUGGAGUAUGUCUGAGCAAUGUUAUAAAGUAUGUCUGAGCAAUGUUAUAAGGCCUUUUGCCAAUCUAUAAUGCAUGCUUCUUUUUUCUUUGGGCAAAUCCAUUUUGAAGCAUAAGCUAAUGCACACAAUGAAAGAAUUUCAAUAUAUCAUUUUCUUUAACAACUAUGUGCUACAAUUUUGUUGAAGGCCAUAAUAUUCCCGCAGCUUCUAGUGUGAUCUUUAGCUAAUUAUUUUUUGCAAAUAAUAAUUUUGAUGUAUUAUAAGAUUGAGCUUGGUUAG
RNAcentral lists this unclassified non-coding RNA (435 nucleotides) under Hevea brasiliensis (rubber tree). The record is from RNAcentral. Lineage: Eukaryota; Viridiplantae; Streptophyta; Magnoliopsida; Malpighiales; Euphorbiaceae.